Molecule: ribosomal RNA, 535 nt
Filed under: Gomphaeschna furcillata
Lineage: Eukaryota; Metazoa; Arthropoda; Insecta; Odonata; Aeshnidae
Description: SSU rRNA
Rfam family: Eukaryotic small subunit ribosomal RNA
Source: RNAcentral
CUCGUAGUCGGAGGUGUGUCUCGGACGGUCGGUUCGCCGCUUGUCGGUGCUCAACUGGCCGGUCCGGACGUCCUGCCGGUGGGGCUGUAAAAGGCUCCGUUAUCCUUCUUUGGUCCUCUUCAUUGAGUGCCUUGGUGGGCCGGCACGUUUACUUUGAACAAAUUAGAGUGCUCAAAGCAGGCCGUUGGUCGCCUGAAUACUGUGUGCAUGGAAUAAUGGAAUAGGACCUCGGUUCCAUUUUGUUGGUUUUCAGAACUCGAGGUAAUGAUUAAUAGGGACGGACGGGGGCAUUCGUAUUGCGACGUUAGAGGUGAAAUUCUUGGAUCGUCGCAAGACGAACCGAUGCGAAAGCAUUUGCCAAGAACGUUUUCGUUGAUCAAGAACGAAAGUUAGAGGUUCGAAGGCGAUCAGAUACCGCCCUAGUUCUAACCAUAAACGAUGCCAGCUAGCCAUCCGCCGAAGUUCCUUAUAUGACUCGGCGGGCAGCUUCCGGGAAACCAAAGCUCUUGGGUUCCGGGGGAAGUAUGGUUGCAAG